GGGCCCGCACAAGCGGAGGAACAUGUGGUUUAAUUCGAUGAUACGCGAGGAACCUUACCUGGGCUUAAAUGGGAGCAGACGGAUUUGGAAACAGGUCUUUCUUCGGACUGCUUUCAAGGUGCUGCAUGGUUGUCGUCAGCUCGUGCCGUGAGGUGUCGGGUUAAGUCCCAUAACGAGCGCAACCCCUACCGAUAGUUACCAUCAGGUCAAGCUGGGGACUCUAUCGGGACUGCCACCGUAAGGUGCGAGGAAGGCGGGGAUGACGUCAAAUCAGCACGGCCCUUAUGUCCAGGGCUACACACGUGUUACAAUGGCCGGUACAGAGGGCAGCUACCCUGCGAGGGGAUGCUAAUCUUAUAAAUCCGGUCUCAGUUCGGAUCGAAGUCUGCAACCCGACUUCGUGAAGCUGGAUUCGCUAGUAAUCGCGCAUCAGCCAUGGCGCGGUGAAUACGUUCCCGGGCCUU
RNAcentral lists this ribosomal RNA (464 nucleotides) under uncultured bacterium. RNAcentral describes it as "bacterial SSU rRNA". It matches the Rfam family "Bacterial small subunit ribosomal RNA", at positions 917 to 1382 of the family's 1533-position model. The record is from RNAcentral.